UGCAGAGAGCGUAAAGGCUCAGCUGUCAAAAUGAUUCGCAUUACAUUGCUAUGUAAUUCCAAUGCUGCAACCGUGUUGCUAUAGGGAUUAACAAAAUCUUUCGAAUUCAAACAAUUAAAAACAUUUGUGACAAAUGUACGUUGUCAUAUUUUGUGAAAAGUGCCUGUGAACAGAGGGAAAUUUGUUAGAAAAUGAAUGUUUAAUAAUUUCACGUCAUUUAAACCGGUCAGUGCCAUAUAUAUUUGUUGGGUGAUAACUGUUAGUCGUACAUUAUCGACAAAUUUAAGAGACCAUAGAACACCGUUAAAUUACAUAAUUAUUAAACAAUUAUUAUUUUCGAAUCUGAUUUUCGUUGGAAGAAUUCCGGUUUACACGAUCAGUGGCGCCAACUACAACUCAGCCGUCACUUAUAAGUCAGGAGUACUACAGUCGAUGCAUACAGGUGCAUACAGGAGUACUACGCGAGUACUACACGAAAUUGUAAGAGUGUGAAAAAUCAGGAAGGCAGGAAGCAUGUGAAGAAAAGCUGGUUCCAAAGAAGACAAAUAGAAAAUAUAAUGGACGAGUCUACAAAUGUUAACACAUGUGACUCGUCUGAAGAAUGCGACAAAAAGUGCGAAUGCAGCCCUAAAAUGAAAGUCGUCUACAGGCAGAAUAUGCUGAUCUUUAC
Long non-coding RNA from Leptopilina heterotoma, 670 nucleotides. RefSeq lists it as uncharacterized. The transcript has 3 exons. Lineage: Eukaryota; Metazoa; Arthropoda; Insecta; Hymenoptera; Figitidae. The record is from RefSeq and is a predicted model, not a curated record.